CAGCUAUCUCCAUUGCUCAUCUCAAAUUAACCCCUGCUGCCAGAGAGAGGGUUCUAGCUUUCAAGAAGCUUGAUCCUAAAAUCAGAAGUUUUCAAGUCACCGUCCAAGAUUCACAAGAAGUAUCCUCCGCAUCUGCCACUAUGUCAAGCGCUGGGAAACCUGCUAAGUCUGCCAAGUCAGCCUCCAAGUUCGGGAUUGAUGAACUUGCCAAUGUCAAGUCUUCGAGAAAGAAAGCUUCUGUAGCCAGUCCCUCUGCUUCGGCUCCUAAAGCACCUGUUAGAGGUAAGGGGAAGAAGAGGAAGACCUCUGAGGAUCUCCAAGGAUUUCCCCUGAUCCGCCAACAGUUCCUCGAUUAUGUCAAUGAGAAACUUGCUGAGAUUGAGACCUACCUUGGCCAUGUCGAGGAUCAGGAGAGCCAAAUCGCCGACCUCCAACAAAUGGGCGUGUUAA
Molecule: long non-coding RNA, 450 nt
Filed under: Helianthus annuus (common sunflower)
Lineage: Eukaryota; Viridiplantae; Streptophyta; Magnoliopsida; Asterales; Asteraceae
Description: hypothetical non coding rna
Source: RNAcentral